AUUGAACGCUGGCGGAAUGCUUUACACAUGCAAGUCGAACGGCAGCACGGACUUCGGUCUGGUGGCGAGUGGCGAACGGGUGAGUAAUGUAUCGGAACGUGCCCAGUCGUGGGGGAUAACGUAGUGAAAAUUACGCUAAUACCGCAUACGAUCUAUGGAUGAAAGCGGGGGAUCGCAAGACCUCGCGCGAUUGGAGCGGCCGAUAUCAGAUUAGGUAGUUGGGGGGGUAAAGGCCCACCAAGCCAACGAUCUGUAGCUGGUCUGAGAGGAGGACACGCCACACUUGAACUGAGACACGGUCCAGACUCCUACGGGAGGCAGCAGUGGGGAAUUUUGGACAAUGGGCGAAAGCCUGAUCCAGCCAUUCCGCGUGCAGGAUGAAGGCCCUCGGGUUGUAAACUGCUUUUGUACAGAACGAAAAGGUUUCUACUAAUACUAGGAGCUCAUGACGGUACUGUAAGAAUAAGCACCGGCUAACUACGUGCCAGCAGCCGCCGUAA
RNAcentral lists this ribosomal RNA (500 nucleotides) under uncultured bacterium. RNAcentral describes it as "partial 16S ribosomal RNA". It matches the Rfam family "Bacterial small subunit ribosomal RNA", at positions 30 to 523 of the family's 1533-position model. The record is from RNAcentral.